Small nuclear RNA from Trichechus manatus latirostris (Florida manatee), 107 nucleotides. NCBI's taxonomy places the organism in Eukaryota, Metazoa, Chordata, Mammalia, Sirenia, Trichechidae. The record is from RefSeq and is a predicted model, not a curated record.
GUGCUUGCUUCAGCAGCACAUUUACUACAAUUGGAAGGAUGCAGAGAAGAUUAGCAUGGCCCCUACUCAAGGGUGACAUGCAAAUUCAUGAAGCGGUCCAUAGUUUU